UAAGCAAGCUCUUUUCCCAGGC
Molecule: microRNA, 22 nt
Filed under: Pristionchus pacificus
Lineage: Eukaryota; Metazoa; Nematoda; Chromadorea; Rhabditida; Neodiplogasteridae
Description: ppc-miR-8281-3p
Source: miRBase by way of RNAcentral